RNAcentral lists this long non-coding RNA (541 nucleotides) under Trifolium pratense (red clover). Its description in RNAcentral is "long non-coding RNA (TPRA_LNC008795)". The record is from RNAcentral. Lineage: Eukaryota; Viridiplantae; Streptophyta; Magnoliopsida; Fabales; Fabaceae.
AGAUUUUGCAUGUCCACCAGAUCUAAGAGUGCACCAUCACCAACAAAUUUUUAUUUCAAUUUCUUCAUCUUCUUCCUUCAUUCCUUCAUCAUUUCUUCAUCUUCUUUCGCAAUUCCUUCAUCAUUUUUUCAAAACUUCAUCAUUCAAACUCAAAAUUUCAAAACAAAUCCAAAAAUAAAUAUUUUACAAAAUUGCAAAAGCCUUUUAACUUUUAUUAAAACUUGGUAUUGUUCAUUUCUUUGUCUAGCCGCCGCAACGAUCUGAUUGUAGCACACAAUACCUUCUUUCAUUCUUUUCUUCUGUUCAAAUAAAACAAAAUGAAGGGUCUUCAUAUGUAUAAAUCAUUUUUUUUCCCUUUCUCAUUUUUUAUCCCUUUGUUUCAUCUUCUAUCUUCUUGUAAUUGCAACACAAGAUCCGGCAAUUACAAUGCCUCUUCUUUCCCUUUCUUCUUCCAACAACACCUCCCUCUUUAAAUCCAUCCUCACCACCACCACCAUUUUACUCAUUUUUUUGGUUUAAAAUUGAAAAUCUAAAAACCCAG